This 220-nucleotide long non-coding RNA is filed under the name Populus tremula. Its description in RNAcentral is "long non-coding RNA (PTRE_LNC000841)". Lineage: Eukaryota; Viridiplantae; Streptophyta; Magnoliopsida; Malpighiales; Salicaceae. The record is from RNAcentral.
AAUAAUUUCCUGUGUUUCUUUAAUUUCAUACAACUAUGCCUACGAUUUAUACAGUCAAGACAGGGAAUGGAACAAGUCUUCAUUGUUUUUAACACCACUAAUUGGCACUCUCCGAUUAGAGCCGGCUCUCCUCUGUCCUCCUCUUGCCUUAAAAAUACUCCAAUCCAACCUCCUCCUCCAAUUCCUCUAUUCAUGGGUUCAUCUUUCCCUAGUACCCAUC